UUUCUUUCUUUUUUUUCUCUCUUUUCUUUCUCUUUUUCUUUUCUUUCUCCUCCUCCUUUCUUCUAGCAGCCACCGAGACCCCCCUUCCUCGACCUUCAUCUCUCUCUCAACUCUCUGCCAUCGCUUUUCAGUCGUUGCCCUAGCCGCCGACACCCCGCACCAGUCGAUCAUGUUUCCACCCACACUGCACGAGAGACCCUUUGUCGAUCGUUCCAUCUCUCGUCCAUUCUGCCCACGUCAGCAUCGUCCGCUUCAGCACCACAGCCAGAUCUUCAAGCCAUGACAGAUCUGGUAGUCGCCAUCCAGCCUCUAGUCACGCCGCUCCACGUCGCUUCUCUAUUCUAGAUGACAUCAUCAUCACCCUAAGCCGCCAAGACCAUCCGCGUGCAGUUCCAGCUUCGUCUACUUCUAUCGCCGCCUCAGUGGACACCGGAAAACGUUUCCCAUCUGCAGUGAUUGUGUCCAUCACCGAUCUGUCAUUUUGGCUUUGGAUCAAGUUCUUGAAGGUGUUGAGGUGUCAUUCUUUGAAGUUAGAGAAUUUGAUUUGGGGAUUUGGAAUAUUUGGGGGCAUUGCUCAUCAAGAAAGGGACUAAUUUUUGGCAGAAUAUUGUUAAAAUUUGGUUGGCCAAUUGAAUUGAGUUUUGGAAUUUAUUUUAGACCAAGCCACAACUUUGGGCAUGAUUCAAGAUUCAUCUAAGCUAGGAGGAAAUCAAUUUGCUUGUAGCUUAGACAUAAUUUUGAGAGCCCAUACCUCCUGGAUUCUUGCUCCGAGAAUACCAAGGUUACUAAGUGGUGGUGUCUGAAAGGUUGCCUGUUCCUGGAGAAGUUUGUUCGCGAUUGACCAGACGGUUGGGUUGACGUUCUAAGCCACAGCGAGAGGUGUUGUUCCAAAGUCUUCACGAGAGCGAGAGGUCUGUGAAAGAAAAGUUCUUCAAAUGUAUGUCUCUCGUCUUCUUUUGUAUUUAUUUACUAAAGCAUGCCGUAAUUUGUUAGAAUAUGCAUAAUUGGUUUGUAUGUUUGUGAAUGCUUGUAAUUCUGUCACAAUGAAUUUGGAAUGAUCUUGCUUCCGCUCAUGUGUUCUCUUUAAUAAGAGAUUCUUCACCUUAGCCACCAAGGAGCGCACAAAUAUCUUCAGCUCUAAUUUGGCCUCUUUCUCAGCCACCAAGACCAAGGAGGAUACAAAUUUCUUUAGUUUUAAUUUAGCUUAUUCCUCAGCCACCAAGGCCAAGGAGGGCACAAAUCUUUUUCUAAACCUUCAGAGGCUCUAUCUCAUGGGUGAUUGGAUUUCACCUCGGCCUCUUUCCUCAUACGUUGCUUCUCUAUCAUUGGUUUUCUCAAGUAAGUUUCGAGAGUUAUUCAAUUUUCUAUUUUCUACUAUCCUAGAUUCCACCUCAGCUCGCCCUCGGUGGUGCCUCAAAUCGGCUUCAACUUGGCCUCGGCUCUCUAUAGAUAAGGCUUAAUUCUUUUCCAGAUCUGCAAUUUUCUCCUCUGCCUUUUCCCUUGGGGUCCAAGGUCGGGACGGGUUCUAAAUAAACUAAUUAUUCCCUGAUCGACUUGUAACCUUUCGAGGUUGCCUAUCUUGGUCAGAAAUGCUACUUCCUUGUUGGCUCAUUCUUUCCUUAUUCACCGAUGUAUUACAGAUUCUUUGCAGAUUACACGCGUUCCCCACGAACGGUGCCAACUGUUGAUGGUAAAAUCCGGCCAAGCAAACUCACCUGACUUUGACGUGUCACCAACGGUAAAAUUAUAAUUUGAAGAAGAGGUUACUUGCAAAACAAUUAGAAAAAUAACACAACAAUGUGGGUGUUUUCCAUAGACACUCCAAUGUUUUAAGUCGAUAUUUGUACAAAGAUCAAGGUAAGUAGUUUUUAGGGAGAGUUGGACUUACCUUUUGCAUGACUAUCAUGCUCUAUUUAUAAUGAAGUUCAGGGGUCUUCCUUGUCCCUUUAGGAUUUGAUAUCUACUUCCUUUUCUUAUUUGAAAUCUAGACACUCAGAGUUGGAUUUGCCACUAGGGAUGUUCCAAAAUUGAGGCCCAGUCCAGAUCGGCCACUUGUGAGGGAUCUACUAGGCUUAGCCUCGGUCAGACUCUGCCUUAGUCUCUGAGGCCGAGGGGGGCCUACUGACCAUUGAGGCCCAACUAGCCUCGGCCUGCUGAGGCCCAAUUGGCCUCCACCUCAACCUCUGAGACCCAGUCUCCCUAUUUGUUAAGAACUCUAUCAGACCCGUUUCCUUAGGUCAUAUUACUUGUUUGGUGUGUUGUGGCCUAGGCGCUGAGACGUCAUUGGCAGCUAUUUCAAAACGGCCAUUGAGAGUCUAUUGGCUGCAACAUUUCUUCUUUUUGACUUCAAAGCGCCCAACAUGCCCAAUUGCCUCAAUAUUUUCAUCAAAACAUCCAAGUUGCUCCAAAUGCUCAAAAUCCACAAUUUAAUACGAAUAAUCUCAUGAAAUUCAUUAUUUUAACCUCAAAACUAGCAUAAAAUAAGUCCUAGGGAUAGAAAACAAAAACUUGUUAAUUUAUAAUACUUUUAAAGAUAUCUCUAUCAAUAUUUUCAUAGACAUUUUUAUCAUCACAAGAUGAUGAACAUAUAAAACUUUAAGAAUAAAACCAAAAAUAUUUUUUCCUCUUUAUUUCGAAUUUUGGACAAUUCAGAAUGAUCGAGUUAUUUCUAUUGUUUUAAUAAGUGCAUGCAUGCUCCUUUUUUCACCAAAUGCUAAACUUUUAUUUACUUCUUAGUUUAGUGAGUAGUCAUGUUCAACUAUUAUUAUUUACUUCAAUCGAAGAUUCAUAUAGUGCCAUUCGUAUAGAACUGAUGCCUUUUUUUUGUUCAGAUACCUUCUUCCGUUGUUCCUCUGUUAUUAAUGAGGACUUAAAAGAAUUUUGGAAUUUUUGGUUUGGUGGUUCAAUAAAUUCUUUUUUAUUAGUAUUUUAAAAAAAGUAUUCCCAUGCAUUUAUAUAGUUAUGUACUUCUAUUGAUAAUUCAAAUAUGUUAAAAUCAAAUUAAUAAUUUAAUUAACAAAAUAAUUAAAAACCUUCCAAUUUUAAGAAUGAAACCAAUACCACCCAGAGUAAUAUUUGGUUGCACUCAUUAUAUGAAUAAUAUCAUUAAAAAUAUUAGAAAAUACAUAACUUUGUAUACAUGAGAGAAUGAGUUCAAUAACUUUACAUUGUCUCCUUAGGACAAUUUUAAUCACUCUCGUGCUCGAGUUUCGUGAGUAAUUAUCUCUCAAGAUAGAACAAAUUAUCUUUCUUAUGGAAGCAAGACCUUGUUCACAUGAUCCAACGAACUAUGCUUAGUAGAAAUAAAUUAAACUUGAACAAAUUUAUAAAAGAGAGAAAUUUUAUGGUUGUGAAAAAUUUUAAAAUGCAAUUUGAAGAAGAGAUAUAAUAAUAAACUAAUUCGUGGUCAUUCGAAUAGUCGUGUCUCUUCUUCAAUGCAACUCAUAGAAAUAAAAUGAUGCAACCCCACACGAAUAAUCACAUACCAUUUAUUCCAACAAUCCCCCAAAAAUAGUCAGUUGACAAUUUAAGAUAAAAGGAAAAAGAAAACAUGCAGUAUUUUCCUAAUGAAGAAUCUACUUCAGGAUAAGUAGUAAAACUUUGAACUUUCCCUAGUGAACAUUAAUCGAGUUUACUUGGUUAAUCAGUGGACUUGAUAUCUUGAACUGACAAUUGUCUAGAGUAAACUAACAUAAUAGAAGUCACACAAUUUCUCAUUCUAACAAAACUAGUUCUCAUAAUUAUGUUCAUUUUGGCCUUGAAUACCACCUGGUCUCAUGAGCGUUUCAGAUAAUUCACCUUAAAAAUUCUCAUUGAAGAAAAAUUCUCAUUGAAGCAGCCUCUUCACACUCACAUAGGUUAUUCCUAAAGAACAUCAUGUGCACUUUUUUCAUCAAUAAUUAUUCAACCACUUAUAAAAAUCAUUAAAAGCAUAAUGCUUACCCUAAAACCACACUUGCACUAUCUCGUUAUCCUUAGAAUGGGUCAAAAUUAAAAACUUUAAUGCAGUGCUCAUUAUGUUAUCGAAGGAUCGGUUGGUCCGUUAAACCAAGAUCUUGGGAUCUCCAGUCAACUAGGUUGGGUUGCUUCUUUGGUUAAAUUUUUAAAAUUCAAGAUUUUAAUCUCAUUCUCCUUGAUGAACUUUUCAAACAACUCUCUAAUUAGGCCUUUAGAUAGUGAAUUUGCAAUAUUAUCUUUUGAUCUUACAAUGUAAAUUGUGAUAAUUCCACAAAAAAAAAUACACUACAAGAAAAAGAAGCUCCCUCGAUGCCUAAAUCUGCCAUCGAGAGCUCGGUCGCCAGGAGAUAGGGUCUCUCCCGACGACGUAAAGCAACUUCCGACGAUGUAAGGGCUCAUCGAGAGUUCCUAAGGAACUCCCAAUGAUUAAAUCACUGCAUCAGGAGAUAAGACCUAUCUCCCGAUGUGCUAAUUUAAUCAUCGGACGGAGUUCCUAACGGUCAUCGAUAGCCUUCAGGAGAUCUGAUCUGGUAUAUACCCAGAUCGCAGCCUCCCUUCUUCCCCAUUUACCCCAAUCUAAAACCCUAGCAUGUCGCCGCCUGCCUUGCCGUUCGCCUGUCGUCGCCGCUCGCUGCUGUUGUCGUCGUCGUUCAUGUCUCUUCGUCGUUGCCUGCCGUCUCCGCUCGCGUCUCUUCGCAUGCCUUGUCGUUCGCCAUCCUUUGCCAUUCACAGAUCUCUAGUCGUCCGCCAUUCGCAGAUCUCCGCUUGUCUUUCGUUCAUUUCCUUUUGUGUGCCUUCGUUGUUCGCAGAUCUCUGUCGUUUAUUUCGUAGAUCUUCGUCGUUCACCUGUCGUCCGCUGCUCCGGUGUCCUUUGCAAGCUUUCAACAGGAUGUUAUUCGGAGAUGAGGUUGGACGAUUAUUCAAGAUGCUGUGUUCCAGACGUUGUUUUCUUUUCUGUAUUUAUUGACAUUGUUUUCAUUUUAUUUCUUCCAUGUAUUUCUUUCUUUUAUUUAGUAUCGACUUUGUUUUAUUGUAGGAUCAUGUAACUUUUCAUUUAUUUAUUGUAG
Non-coding RNA from Benincasa hispida (wax gourd), 5024 nucleotides. The record is from RefSeq and is a predicted model, not a curated record. NCBI's taxonomy places the organism in Eukaryota, Viridiplantae, Streptophyta, Magnoliopsida, Cucurbitales, Cucurbitaceae.